This 3966-nucleotide long non-coding RNA is filed under the name Mytilus galloprovincialis (Mediterranean mussel). Lineage: Eukaryota; Metazoa; Mollusca; Bivalvia; Mytilida; Mytilidae. The record is from RNAcentral.
UUUAAAAAUUCCGAGUUCACAUGUAUUUUGACAUGUAAAUAAGACAUUGGUAAUGUACAUAUACGAGAUUAAAAAGGCAUUUGAAAUUAUUUUUGUACUUGGUCUUUUUUCUCUAGUAUUCUAUCAGAAUGCAGAUAAUAUACCUAGAUUUCUGAGAGGGUUAUUAAUUGUGGUAUUAAUAAUCAUUGUGGCUCAACAACAGGAUCAAAUACACAUUAUUAAGGAUGAACUAGCUAAAGUUAGUGCUCUAUGUGAAAACAAUACGGAGGAGUUGAAAAAUGUUAUAUCAAAAAUGAAGACCACGUUGCAAAAUUGAUGUAAACUUGUUAAUGUCUUAAUAGUUUGUAUGUGGUCCACCAAUUGGAACCGAAAUUAAAAAAUUCCAAUCACCAGUUCACAUGUAUUUUGACAUGUAAAUAAGACAAUGGAAAUGUACCUAUUCCUGAUUAAAAUGGCAUUUCAAUUUAUUUUUGGACUUGGUGUUUUUUCUCUAGUAUCCUAUCAAGAUGGGGAAAAUAUACCUAAGUUUCUGAAAGAAUUUUUAAUUGUGGUAUUAAUAAUCAUUGUGGCUCUUCAGCAGGAUCAAAUACACAUUAUUAAGGAAGAACUAACUAAAGUUAGUGCUCUAUGUGAAAACAAUAUGGAGGAGUUGAAAAAUGUCAUAUAAAAAAUGAAGACCACAUUGCAAAAUUGAUGUAAACAUCACCACGGAUUAGACAAAACUGUAAAGGGAAAUGUGCAAGGUUCAUUUCGCAUUUUACAUUAUUUCUACAGAUGCAUUUUGACUUUGUGGAUCAAAGAUUUUUGUAAUAAUAAUUAUGGCAUUAACAAUCUUAUUCAAAUCGCAUCAACCUGAGUUUUUAUCGAGGAUUUCUCCAUUUAUAUGUAGACUCAGGAAUAAUCAAGAUGUCUUAAUAGUUUGUAUGCGGUCCACCAAUUGGAACCGAAAAUUUAAAAAUUCCAAUCACCAGUUCACAUGUAUUUUGACAUGUAAAUAAGACAUUGGUAAUGUACAUAUAUCUUAUUUAAAUCGCAUCCACCUGAGUUUCUAUCGAGGAUUUCUCCAUUAUAUAGACUCAGGAAUAAUCAAGAUGUCAAAAAUGAAUGGAUUUAAAUUUAAUUCACGAUUCAUAUAGUAUAUAUGUACAACAAUGGAAAUAUGAAACUACAUUAGUCAAAAAUGAGGACCACGUUACAAAAUUGACAUAAACUUCACGAAGGAUUAGACGAAACUGUAUAGGGAGAUGUGCAAGGUUCAUUUCACAUUAUACAUUUUUUACCCAACUGCAUUUUUACUCCCAUCAUCAAAGAUUUAGUAUGGCAUGAACAUUCUUAUUCAAAUCGUAUAAACUUGAAUUUCGAUCAAGGAUUUGUCCAUUAUGUAGACUCCACAGAAAUAAUCAUGAUGUCAAAAAUGAAUGGAUUUAAUUCACAAUUCAUAAAGUUGCAUUCAACAAUGGAAAUAUGAGACUAGUCAUUAGUCUAGAUUUUAGAUCAGUGUCAUGUAUAGUCAUUAUUAGCAUUCAAUUUUUAAAUUAGUUUUUGUACUGCUUAAAAAUAUUGUUAAACUUUUUUCUAAUUCAUAUUGGAAUUAUAUAUAUAAGGCUAUUCAUGUAACAUUCUGUGGAAAUUUUCAAUAUUAUGAGGGCAUUUUCUAAAAUUACAAUGCAAACUAUGAAAUAUGUUAAAAGAAUUUGAACUGUAUUUUAAUUGUGCAGUGUAAAAUUUAAAAACAAAGUAUAUAAAAACAAGGGAGGUAAGCUUCACUAAUGGAGCCAAUCUCCCAUACAGACAGAGUUAUCGUCCUUUCCUCGAGGAAAGGACGAUAACUCUGUCUGUAUGGGAGAUUGUAAUGGAGCAAUGCAAAUCAUAAGUUCAUCAAAAGUCUACACACCUGAAAUAUUUGCAAUAUGUUCUUUCAAUAUUCAUGAUUAUAAUGGUUUCUUAAUUUUCCAUAAAUGUAAGGGUUGCAGAGGCAGAUUAAGGGUUGGGGGAUCUGACCCCCCUCCCUUAUGGAGCUUCAAAUACAAUGCAAACAUUGAGUCUUGCCAAGGGAGCCUCUCUUUUCUCAAGAAUCCUGGAUACUCCCUUAGGGUUCAGUUUAGGCUUAAAGUGAGGACUGAAGAUUUUGAGGAUUUGUUUUACGUUAAGAGGGAUGUUUGAGAAAUUGUGUUAGGCACAAGUUAGGGUUACUUUAAUAAGGCUCAUAUGGUAUGGGACCACUUAAGUAAAAGAACGCUUAUUUAUCAUAAGUGAUAGUGUGACCAGAAAAUGUAAAUGUGGAAGUAUUUUUCAGGGUAUUCAAGGCUUAGCUGUUCAAUUUGAAAGUAGUCAGGAAUUCACCAGUUAAAUCGUCAUGAAUUCAGGAUUUAGUUAAAUCAUAAUGUGAGAAUGGACACAUUAUUUUCACAGAAAUUUUGAAUUCCACAAUGAAUAAAUAAAAUAUCAUUGUAAAUCCUUGCCUAUGAAAUAAGUUUAAUGCAAAGUUGAAUCAUCUUGUGUUACCAAACAAAUAAUUCAUAACACCAACAAGACUUAAGUUUCCAGAGAUUUAUAUUUAAAAAAAAAACAAAUAUUUAAAAUCUACACAAUUCAAAAUGUCAGUCUCAAAAGCUUUAUACGAAGCACUGAUUGAUUGAUGUCUGCUUAACUUCAAGUGACAAAUUUUACAUGUAAAUUCAAAAGACAGUCUUAUAUGUUUUAUGGGCAUGAAUUUUAGCUACUUGCAAACACUAGUACAAGAUAUUGUUAUGUAAUAAUCUAAUUUUCUUUAACUAAUAACAGGGAUACUCUGGCUAACACUGUAAUCCGAGUAAAUUGUUAAAACAGCAGAUAUGUAAUAAAAGAUAUUUACUUUUAAAAAAUAAUCUAAUUUUCACUAGUGAUUUAUUUUUGCAACUUUCGUACGUAGAAAAGUAUGGGAUAUAUAGAUCGUUGCGAACAUGUAAAACUUGGAUUUUUCCUCACUUAAUUACAUCAAGGAAAUUUGAGAAUCGCCAAAUUAAAUUACUGUGCAAUAGGUCAGAAUGCGAAAUAAAAUAUUUGCGAAAUUAAGUUGUUUUUCAGUAAUCGACAUGAUUGAUUGAUUGUUUGGUGUUUAACACGACUUUUAAAACUAUUAUACUAUUGCAUGGCGUCUAGUUUUAUUUUGGGGAGGAAGUCUGAUUUUACAGAGAAAACCACAACCUUCUUCAGAAAAACCAAAAAUCCUAGCAAAUUAAGACUCAUAUGAAUAAAACUGAAAAUGGAAAUGGAGUAUGUACGUGUCAAAGAGACAACAUUAACUGACCAAAGAGCCUAUAACAGCCAAAGGCCACCAAUGGGUCUUCAAUGCAGCGAGAAAUUCCUGUAGCCAGAGGCGUGCUUCAGCUGGUCACAAAAUAAAAAUGUAUACUAGUACAGUGAUAACGGAAACCAAACUAAACUCUGAAAUAUAUAAAAGAAACUAAAUUAAAAAUAAUACUUAACGGAGAAGCAGCAAAAACAAUUUGAGAAUCAAGUGCAUGUUCUUUUACGUUCCAGUUUGUCAAGCAAAACCUACAAGUUUUUUGUCCAGAAAAAAAAACGGGAAAUAAAAAUAUGGUGUAUGAAUUCAUGACACUUUAAUCCCCAUACAAACUAUGUUCUUAUACGUUCCAGUUUGUCAAGCAAAACCUACAAGUUUUUUGUCCAGAGAAAAAAAAAAACGGGAAAUAAAAAUAUGGUGUAUGAAUUCAUGACACUUUAAUCCCCAUACAAACUAAAAAAAACCAAAAAACAAACAAUCAGUCCUGGUGUUCAUCAUUAAAAUGUUAUGGACACCUUCAACAUGGAGAAAAGCUGUAUGACACAUUUACAAGUUCAAGAUGUUCACUACAACAAUUUUGAUUGGAUAUAACCUACAUCUAUGCAUUAAAGAACACUGUUGCCAGGUAAUAUCAACAAAUGACAGGCGAAAGACCGUUUUUAAACUCAUGUUAAUUAACU